AAAUUACACUUGGACAUGUCUCG
RNAcentral lists this non-coding RNA (23 nucleotides) under Arabidopsis thaliana (thale cress). Lineage: Eukaryota; Viridiplantae; Streptophyta; Magnoliopsida; Brassicales; Brassicaceae. The record is from RNAcentral.